Molecule: ribosomal RNA, 440 nt
Filed under: uncultured bacterium
Lineage: Bacteria
Description: partial 16S ribosomal RNA
Rfam family: Bacterial small subunit ribosomal RNA
Source: RNAcentral
CUACGGGUUGCACCAGUAGGGAAUAUUGGACAAUGGGCGAAAGCCUGAUCCAGCAACGCCGCGUGUGCGAUGACGGCCUUCGGGUUGUAAAGCACUUUUAGAGGAGAUGAGAAAGGACAGUAUCCUCAGAAUAAGCCUCGGCGAACUACGUGCCAGCAGCCGCGGUAAAACGUAGGAGGCAAGCGUUAUCCGGAUUUAUUGGGCGUAAAGCGCGUGCAGGCGGUCUAGCAAGUUGGAUGUGAAAGCUCCCGGCUUAACCGGGAGAGGUCGUUCAAUACUGUUAGACUAGAGAAUGGGAGAGGGAGGUGGAAUUCUGGGUGUAGUGGUGAAAUGCGUAGAUAUCCAGAGGAACACCAGUGGCGAAAGCGGCCUCCUGGACCAUUUCUGACGCUAAGACGCGAAAGCUAGGGUAGCAAACGGGAUUAGAUACCCCUGUAGUC